Molecule: long non-coding RNA, 2984 nt
Filed under: Homo sapiens (human)
Lineage: Eukaryota; Metazoa; Chordata; Mammalia; Primates; Hominidae
Description: HSALNT0369270
Source: RNAcentral
CACCUCGGCCUCCCAAACUGCUGGGAUUACAGGCAUGAGCCACCACGCAGAGCCUCCUGAAGCAGCUCUUCCUGCUUCCACUCUCACUCUUCUCUAAAUCGUUAUCUGCCUGGCAGUCUGAAGUCUUUCUAACUUGCAAACUGGCUCCUGUCAUUGGUCUCCUUAAAACUCUUAAGUAGCUCCCCAUUACGAUCUGCUUUGCAAACUUUUCCACAAGCAUUUCCCCAAUGGCAAAGGAGAGAGCAGGCCUGGGAUCUGAAGUUCCCUGUCACAAGUACAAAAUAUCUUAGGAGUUUUAUAAUUUAUCUUACAAAUGUAUGCAGAUUUUGCACUCUACUUCUUUAGUAAUAAAUAUUUUAAAUUACUCAACACUUAGCAAAAACAAUGCUCCAGGAAGAUAUUUCUUGUUUAUCCUGUGGUUUUGCAAUAUGGCCACCAGGAUAUCAAAGUCUGAGAAAGGCAAAAGCAGAUCAAGAUCAGAUAAACUUAUUUGAUGCACAAAGCCCUUCAAAACCUGGUGCUUGAUUUGCUUUCCCUUCUUACCUUUUGCCAUUCUCUCACACCCACCUUCCCCAGGCUGGCUCAUCUCAAUGCCACCCUCCCCUCCAAGACUGCUUUAGGUCUCCCUUCUCUGUUCCCCCUCAGGAUCCUGUGCCUUGUUGCCUGUACAUGAUCAGUCCUUAUUGUUUAUCUCUGUGUCUGUAGCACUAACCUUGAGGAAAGGAGAUGCGUUGUGUUCAUUGUUACCCAAACCUGGCCCAGUGCCUGGUAGAUCUCAAGCACACAGUAAACGUCUAUGGAAUGAAUUAGUGAAUGAGUAAAUGGAUUACCAAUUAUUCCAAGUAAGUGCUCAUUUGAAGCUUUAAGGACCCUGAUAUCUGAGAUUAAGCGAUAUUCUAUUUCAGUAGCCUUCCCCCAUCUGUUACUCCAUCCUUCCCAAUACAUACAUGUAAGAAGAGAAAUUUAUUUUGGGUUGAUUUGAUUGCCCAAGAACUGAAAACUGCGAUCAUGUCUAGGACCAAAUCAUGGAUUCAAAUUUACUAAGAGACAUGUAAAGUUCAAAGAAUGAUCCUUUUCCCUGGAAACUGGAAGGGAUUUUUGAAAGCACAAGGACUCCCUAGCUUGAAGCAGCAAUUAAAGAAUGGAUCUUUGGUAACAUCAUCCUUUCUGAUCUAGACAGCAAUCAAAUGUAAUCUGCAAAGGUUUCAGAGGAAAGUUGAGCUCAUGUUUAAGAAGAUACUCAACCUCAUCGUUCCAUUUGUCAUAGAGAAUCGUAACUCAUCUGUCCACCUAUCUUUUCUGUUUCUGACAUUUACUAUAAAAUGUUGUCACUGGGACUGUAACGUCUAAUCAGCCAGGCUAUUUGAAUGAUCUGAUGAGCUAGUUUUAGGGUUCAAUGUGUCAUUAAAAAAAAAAAAAAACUUUUCUAGUGGAGUACAACUAGUGGAGCCGCCAUAACUUCAAAGUCUCUUAGAAUGGUUUUGGCUGAAGUCAAACAUCCUCUUCAUUUGAUACAAUUUUUGGUUAUGCGUGACAUAUGCUCAACAGGAAAAUUCUGCAGAUGGAAUCUUUCUACCGAGGGAAGUAGUUUGCUCUUAUUAAAAAGUCUGAAUGGGGACUAGAGAUAGAAUGAAGAGGAAAAGGAAGCCACAGAAAAAGCUCUGGCUGCAAGGCCAUCCCUAGGCACCUGACAACAUAGAGCAGUUGGCAGAGGAUUGAAGUUAAGCAGCUGAGUCCCGUCCUCUGAGAGCUUGCAGUCCCCAACCGACUCAAAUGCAUGAUUAAACAUCACUUGGCCAACUAUGCAAGUAUUGAACCACAACCAAAGUAGGUUUUUAAAAAUAGAUUCAAAUUAAAAUGCAAGCCAAUAAAGUAAGAGUAAAUCACUCCUUCCCACUGCAGUAUGGAAUAUAAUCGAGGUAUUUUCAACUGGUUAACAAUGGAUCCUUCCUGAAAUAUUCGACCCUUCACUGGCUUAGAAGGAUAUUAAUUUUAAGUACCUGUGAAAUGAAGUUCUUAAAACCUAAGAUUCCCCAAAACUCCAGUUAUCAACAAGGUUAUAUAGGAAUCAAAGCGAGGCGUUUGGAGUAGAUGCCGAGAUCACCUCUCCCUCACACCUCUGCUGACCCCAGCUACCUGCAAUCCUGCCAGGACCAUUCUGGAGUACCUUUCACUGAAGACAAAUUUAUUGUAAAAUUUCUACUGGGAUUCAUUGUAGGAAAUCAUUGCUAAUUUCAAAAGAAUGUGGAAGGGUCUCAACAGAACAUUCAUGGGAUAUCACAGAGAACCAUGCUAUGUAUGCAAAAGAAGAGUGGUCUUUCUAAUUCUCUUAUGAAAAAUGCCCUUUCUUCAGAAGAAAUUAAGUCAUGAGGCAACAGAAUUCCACAAUGAUAUGGUUGAGGAAAAUGGAGACCUGUCCACAGAGGAGCCCAGCAUCAUAAUGAACAGCCAUCUGGAAUCUUUGGCUUUGGUACCAAACUAAUACUGCCCUAGAAUUUGCGAAGUGUGGCCUUGGAGAAAGAGGUGGGUAUCCUGCAAAGAUGUUUCACCCAGGCACCAACUACAUGAAACAUCCUGCUGCACAGCAGAAAGCAUUUCAAGACUUGCUGAAUAUGUUUCGUAAAUCUUGUCUCUGUCCUAGAUUCCCAGGGUUCUUGGGUUACAUGCAGAACAAUUCACUUUUAUCAACACUUUAUUUUUCUAAAGAUAGGUUAAUAAUAUAAUAAUUUUAUGACUGAUAAUGUAUAAUUAGUUUACAGCUAGGGUACAUUUUUUGUGUGUGCUUGACUAGAUACCUAUUUCAUCAUGAAAUCACUUGGAGUUAGAAGAGGGCUUACUUUUACAGCCACAGGUAUCAUUACUGUUAUUGAGUUGUUAGAUAUACUGAUUUAGAAUUUUAAACUUUUCCAUGAAGUUGACUGGAAUGAAAAGCAGCUAAUGUAUGUUAGAAAAUAAAAAUGUGGCUAUGCAACCAUAAAAAAGAA